RNAcentral lists this ribosomal RNA (377 nucleotides) under Enterococcus faecalis. Its description in RNAcentral is "bacterial SSU rRNA". It matches the Rfam family "Bacterial small subunit ribosomal RNA", at positions 1158 to 1533 of the family's 1533-position model. The record is from RNAcentral. Lineage: Bacteria; Bacillati; Bacillota; Bacilli; Lactobacillales; Enterococcaceae.
ACAAACCGGAGGAAGGUGGGGAUGACGUCAAAUCAUCAUGCCCCUUAUGACCUGGGCUACACACGUGCUACAAUGGGAAGUACAACGAGUCGCUAGACCGCGAGGUCAUGCAAAUCUCUUAAAGCUUCUCUCAGUUCGGAUUGCAGGCUGCAACUCGCCUGCAUGAAGCCGGAAUCGCUAGUAAUCGCGGAUCAGCACGCCGCGGUGAAUACGUUCCCGGGCCUUGUACACACCGCCCGUCACACCACGAGAGUUUGUAACACCCGAAGUCGGUGAGGUAACCUUUUUGGAGCCAGCCGCCUAAGGUGGGAUAGAUGAUUGGGGUGAAGUCGUAACAAGGUAGCCGUAUCGGAAGGUGCGGCUGGAUCACCUCCUUU